CUACACAUGCAGUCGACGGUGAACAGCGAAGGCAGCUUGCUGCUUUGCUGACGAGUGGCGGACGGGUGAGUAAUGUCUGGGAACUGCCCGAUGGAGGGGGAUAACUACUGGAAACGGUAGCUAAUACCGCAUAACGUCGCAAGACCAAAGAGGGGGACCUUCGGGCCUCUUGCCAUCGGAUGUGCCCAGAUGGGAUUAGCUAGUAGGUGGGGUAACGGCUCACCUAGGCGACGAUCCCUAGCUGGUCUGAGAGGAUGACCAGCCACACUGGAACUGAGACACGGUCCAGACUCCUACGGGAGGCAGCAGUGGGGAAUAUUGCACAAUGGGCGCAAGCCUGAUGCAGCCAUGCCGCGUGUAUGAAGAAGGCCUUCGGGUUGUAAAGUACUUUCAGCGGGGAGGAAGGGAGUAAAGUUAAUACCUUUGCUCAUUGACGUUACCCGCAGAAGAGCACCGGCUAACUCCGUGCCAGCAGCCGCGUAAUACGGAGGGUGCAAGCGUUAAUCGGAUUACUGGGCGUAAGCGCACGCAGGCGGUUGUUAGUCAGAUGUGAAUCCCGGCUCACCUG
Molecule: ribosomal RNA, 568 nt
Filed under: bacterium tet-w-27
Lineage: Bacteria
Description: bacterial SSU rRNA
Rfam family: Bacterial small subunit ribosomal RNA
Source: RNAcentral